GUGUCAGCAGCCGCGGUAAUACGUAGGUGGCAAGCGUUGUCCGGAAUUAUUGGGCGUAAAGCGCGCGCAGGUGGUUUCUUAAGUCUGAUGUGAAAGCCCACGGCUCAACCGUGGAGGGUCAUUGGAAACUGGGGAACUUGAGUGCAGGAGAGAAGAGUGGAAUUCCACGUGUAGCGGUGAAAUGCGUAGAGAUGUGGAGGAACACCAGUGGCGAAGGCGACUCUUUGGCCUGUAACUGACACUGAGGCGCGAAAGCGUGGGGAGCAAACAGGAUUAGAAACCCCAGUAGUCC
Molecule: ribosomal RNA, 292 nt
Filed under: uncultured bacterium
Lineage: Bacteria
Description: partial 16S ribosomal RNA
Rfam family: Bacterial small subunit ribosomal RNA
Source: RNAcentral